UGGCGGCCAAAGAUGAGAAUAAACGAACAAUCGAGAGAUGCAAACGUUUUACCGAAAGAGUGAACGUUAAUAUCACGGAUGCUGGGAAACUAGCUCAGCAGAUGAUUAAAGCAUCUGGAUCUCCCGAUAUUUUAUCACAAAGCACCAGAAGAUUUGUUCACAACGAGAAUGCUAUAAAAUCAACUGAAGAAAAUAUCAGGAAAAUGAGAAACUUAGUUGGACAAAUGGACGCACAGUAUGACGAGAUUCAUCAACGGUACGUUCCCGCCGCGGAAAAACUCCAAAACUUUCAAAUUUGGACGAAUAAUCUGAUGAAGAAGUAAUCCGAAUUGAAAGAUGAUCUAGUUAUUGUUAUUUUUAGGUUAGAGUUGAUUGCAAAAAUUGAUCACCAGAUGCAUUCGACGCCUGCGAAUUAAAUGGGCCAAUUUAUAUGUGAUUAAUAGAUUGUAAUAUUUUUGUAAAUCGGUAAAUUAUAUAA
This is a long non-coding RNA of Dendronephthya gigantea, 478 nucleotides long. RefSeq lists it as uncharacterized. The transcript has 4 exons. The record is from RefSeq and is a predicted model, not a curated record. Lineage: Eukaryota; Metazoa; Cnidaria; Anthozoa; Malacalcyonacea; Nephtheidae.